UUGGCCCACAGGAAUAGAGUUGAGCCACUCUCAUGAUGACAGCUUUAUGCUGAAAUAUAUGUCACAGAGUCAGUGGGUUUAGAAAACGUCUUUUUGUUAAUCCUCCCAUCUUUUAUAUAUACUGUUAUGUCAAGGAAGUUAACCGUCAAUUGAUCAAUAUGAAAAGAUAAAUUAAUAUUUCUAUUAUUAGAAUUCAGAGUGUGACAGAAAAUGUUUAAUGAAUCCAGAUCUCCACGCCAAACGAAAAAAAUAUUGUCAAUAUAGUGAACAUAAGACACCAGGUCAACCCCAAGCACAUCGCCGGACCAGAUGAUCUCGGUUUCCCACAACCCCAUGAAGAGGUUGGCGUAGCUCGGAGCGAACCUGGUGCCCAUCGCUGUCCCAGUUUUCUGAAGAUCUCCUUCCUUCUAGAUCUUCAUGUCAGUGUCCUGUCUGAAUACCAGGACCGUCUGUUACCUAUAACGCCUGAAGGUUGAGAUGCUCCAUGCGAGGAUAGAAAAACACUUUACUGGGACGCUGGGAAACAGCGGCACCUAAUUGUAUCUGGCAGAUGGAUUGUGGAUAAGGAUACAAUCAUAAACUGCGGUCUAGAUGAAAUAUGAAUUCUGAUUUGUUUCCGCCAAUGUAUUAUUCAUUACUUUUCUUAUCAAGUGGUCGGUAGUGUAUGCCGUCAUUUAAUAUCUAAACAUGCUUAGCAAUAAUUAUUCAUGUAUAACGAGUCCAACCUCAGAAUACUUAUUGAAUUGUUUUGACAGUUUCAUCGUGAAUUUGUUUUUCAACCAAGUCUCCCUGAUACACUAAAUGUAAAUUUGUUGAAAUACUUUUCGAUUAUUCAACAGUUAAUGUCCA
Long non-coding RNA from Pseudophryne corroboree (corroboree frog), 849 nucleotides. RefSeq lists it as uncharacterized. The record is from RefSeq and is a predicted model, not a curated record. Lineage: Eukaryota; Metazoa; Chordata; Amphibia; Anura; Myobatrachidae. The transcript has 3 exons.